Molecule: ribosomal RNA, 1153 nt
Filed under: Vibrio campbellii CAIM 519 = NBRC 15631 = ATCC 25920
Lineage: Bacteria; Pseudomonadati; Pseudomonadota; Gammaproteobacteria; Vibrionales; Vibrionaceae
Description: bacterial LSU rRNA
Rfam family: Bacterial large subunit ribosomal RNA
Source: RNAcentral
CUUAAGGCUGAGACACGACGUCGAGCUACUACGGUAGUGAAGUCAUUGAUGCCAUGCUUCCAGGAAAAGCCUCUAAGCUUCAGAUUGUAAGGAAUCGUACCCCAAACCGACACAGGUGGUCGGGUAGAGAAUACCAAGGCGCUUGAGAGAACUCGGGUGAAGGAACUAGGCAAAAUGGUACCGUAACUUCGGGAGAAGGUACGCUCUCGACGGUGAAGUCCCUUGCGGAUGGAGCUAUUGAGAGUCGCAGAUACCAGGUGGCUGCAACUGUUUAUUAAAAACACAGCACUGUGCAAAAUCGUAAGAUGACGUAUACGGUGUGACGCCUGCCCGGUGCCGGAAGGUUAAUUGAUGGGGUUAGACUUCGGUCGAAGCUCUUGAUCGAAGCCCCGGUAAACGGCGGCCGUAACUAUAACGGUCCUAAGGUAGCGAAAUUCCUUGUCGGGUAAGUUCCGACCUGCACGAAUGGCGUAAUGAUGGCCACGCUGUCUCCACCCGAGACUCAGUGAAAUUGAAAUCGCUGUGAAGAUGCAGUGUACCCGCGGCUAGACGGAAAGACCCCGUGAACCUUUACUACAGCUUGGCACUGAACAUUGACCCUACAUGUGUAGGAUAGGUGGGAGGCUUUGAAACUAGUACGCCAGUAUUAGUGGAGCCGUCCUUGAAAUACCACCCUUGUAGUGUUGAUGUUCUAACGUCGACCCCUUAUCGGGGUUGCGGACAGUGCCUGGUGGGUAGUUUGACUGGGGCGGUCUCCUCCCAAAGCGUAACGGAGGAGCACGAAGGUGGGCUAAUCACGGUUGGACAUCGUGAGGUUAGUGCAAUGGCAUAAGCCCGCUUGACUGCGAGAAUGACAAUUCGAGCAGGUGCGAAAGCAGGUCAUAGUGAUCCGGUGGUUCUGAAUGGAAGGGCCAUCGCUCAACGGAUAAAAGGUACUCCGGGGAUAACAGGCUGAUACCGCCCAAGAGUUCAUAUCGACGGCGGUGUUUGGCACCUCGAUGUCGGCUCAUCACAUCCUGGGGCUGAAGUCGGUCCCAAGGGUAUGGCUGUUCGCCAUUUAAAGUGGUACGCGAGCUGGGUUUAGAACGUCGUGAGACAGUUCGGUCCCUAUCUGCCGUGGGCGUUGGAAGAUUGAAGGGGGCUGCUCCUAGUA